Molecule: ribosomal RNA, 253 nt
Filed under: uncultured bacterium
Lineage: Bacteria
Description: partial 16S ribosomal RNA
Rfam family: Bacterial small subunit ribosomal RNA
Source: RNAcentral
UACGUAGGUGGCAAGCGUUGUCCGGAAUUAUUGGGCGUAAAGCGCGCGCAGGCGGUCCUUUAAGUCUGAUGUGAAAGCCCACGGCUCAACCGUGGAAGGUCAUUGGAAACUGGGGGACUUGAGUGCAGAAGAGGAAAGUGGAAUUCCAAGUGUAGAGGUGAAAUUCGUAGAUAUUCGCAAGAACACCAGUGGCGAAGGCGACUUACUGGACUGUAACUGACGCUGAGGCAUGAAAGCGUGGGGAGCAAACAGG